AACGAACGCUGGCGGCAGGCCUAACACAUGCAAGUCGAGCGCACCUUCGGGUGAGCGGCGGACGGGUUAGUAACGCGUGGGAACGUACCCUUUUCUAAGGAAUAGCCACUGGAAACGGUGAGUAAUACCUUAUACGCCCUUCGGGGGAAAGAUUUAUCGGAGAAGGAUCGGCCCGCGUUAGAUUAGAUAGUUGGUGGGGUAACGGCCUACCAAGUCUACGAUCUAUAGCUGGUUUUAGAGGAUGAUCAGCAACACUGGGACUGAGACACGGCCCAGACCCCUACGGGAGGCAGCAGUGGGGAAUCUUGGACAAUGGGCGCAAGCCUGAUCCAGCCAUGCCGCGUGAGUGAUGAAGGCCUUAGGGUCGUAAAGCUCUUUCGCUGGGGAUGAUAAUGACAGUACCCAGUAAAGAAACCCCGGCUAACUCCGUGCCAGCAGCCGCGGUAAUACGGAGGGGGUUAGCGUUGUUCGGAAUUACUGGGCGUAAAGCGCGCGUAGGCGGAUUGGAAAGUUGGGGGUGAAAUCCCGGGGCUCAACCUCGGAACUGCCUCCAAAACUAUCAGUCUAGAGUUCGAGAGAGGUGAGUGGAAUUCCGAGUGUAGAGGUGAAAUUCGUAGAUAUUCGGAGGAACACCAGUGGCGAAGGCGGCUCACUGGCUCGAUACUGACGCUGAGGUGCGAAAGUGUGGGGAGCAAACAGGAUUAGAUACCCUGGUAGUCCACACCGUAAACGAUGAAUGCCAGUCGUCAGCAAGCAUGCUUGUUGGUGACACACCUAACGGAUUAAGCAUUCCGCCUGGGGAGUACGGUCGCAAGAUUAAAACUCAAAGGAAUUGACGGGGGCCUGCACAAGCGGUGGAGCAUGUGGUUUAAUUCGAAGCAACGCGCAGAACCUUACCAGCCUUUGACAUCCUAGGACGGUUUCUGGAGACAGAUUCCUUCCCUUCGGGGACCUAGUGACAGGUGCUGCAUGGCUGUCGUCAGCUCGUGUCGUGAGAUGUUGGGUUAAGUCCCGCAACGAGCGCAACCCUCGUCCUUAGUUGCCAUCAUUCAGUUGGGCACUUUAAGGAAACUGCCGGUGGUAAGCCGGAGGAAGGUGGGGAUGACGUCAAGUCCUCAUGGCCCUUACAGGCUGGGCUACACACGUGCUACAAUGGCGGUGACAGUGGGCAGCAAGCACGCGAGUGCAAGCUAAUCUCCAAAAACCGUCUCAGUUCGGAUUGUUCUCUGCAACUCGAGAGCAUGAAGGCGGAAUCGCUAGUAAUCGCGGAUCAGCAUGCCGCGGUGAAUACGUUCCCAGGCCUUGUACACACCGCCCGUCACACCAUGGGAGUUGGGUUCACCCGAAGGCGUUGCGCUAACCUUUUAGGAGGCAGGCGACCACGGUGGGCUUAGCGACUGGGGUG
This 1405-nucleotide ribosomal RNA is filed under the name uncultured bacterium. Its description in RNAcentral is "bacterial SSU rRNA". It matches the Rfam family "Bacterial small subunit ribosomal RNA". The record is from RNAcentral.